Molecule: ribosomal RNA, 228 nt
Filed under: uncultured bacterium
Lineage: Bacteria
Description: partial 16S ribosomal RNA
Rfam family: Bacterial small subunit ribosomal RNA
Source: RNAcentral
UGAGCAACCUGCCCUUGACUCUGGAAUAACAGCUGGAAACAGCUGCUAAUACCGGAUACGACCUCCGAUGGCAUCAUCUGGAGGUGGAAAGCUCCGACGGUCAAGGAUGGGCUCGCGGCCUAUCAGCUAGUUGGUGUGGGUAAUGGCCCACCAAGGCGACGACGGGUAGCAGGCCUGAGAGGGUGACCGGCCACACUGGGACUGAGACACGGCCCAGAUCCGUACGGG